ACGCCAAUAAAGGGAGGGCGGUGCGAACGUGGGUGGUCAAAGUGUAGCAUCAGUUCUUAUCAGCUUAAUAUAUGAUACGGGUUGCAUUAGGACUUCAGAUAUUGAACUUAGUUUAGCAAGUUGGCGGAGUGCUGGGAGCCUGCCGCACCUCUGCCGCUGGUCGCCCGGUAUUGCACUAUCUUCGGGAUCAGCCUAUGUAUG
Molecule: small nuclear RNA, 201 nt
Organism: Dermacentor albipictus
Lineage: Eukaryota; Metazoa; Arthropoda; Arachnida; Ixodida; Ixodidae
Product: U2 spliceosomal RNA
Source: RefSeq, a predicted model, not a curated record